AACACAUGAUCUCAGCAAGUUCUGUCACAGCUAUGGGAUGGAGGAGAGCGAUGACCCUAAUUGGAUCCGCUGUGACAUCUGUGACAGGUGGUUUCACCACGAGUGUGUCCUGAGGCCAGAUCUUGAUGGGGAUUACCUGUGCCCAGCAUGUGUAAUCAAUGCCUACCUCACCUUUCUUGUGAGGAAAUAUAAUAAAAUAAGUCCAGAAAAGGCUGGUGUCAUCGACAGUUUUUGCAUGACGGCAAUUUGGCAAGGGAAACAACAAAGACUC
This is a long non-coding RNA of Nerophis ophidion (straightnose pipefish), 271 nucleotides long. RefSeq lists it as uncharacterized. The transcript has 3 exons. The record is from RefSeq and is a predicted model, not a curated record. Lineage: Eukaryota; Metazoa; Chordata; Actinopteri; Syngnathiformes; Syngnathidae.